UGAGGGAAAGCCCAGUGGUAGAGUGCAUGCCUAGCAUGCAUGAGGUCCUGGGUUCAAUCCCCAGUACCUCCA
Molecule: transfer RNA, 72 nt
Filed under: Camelus bactrianus (Bactrian camel)
Lineage: Eukaryota; Metazoa; Chordata; Mammalia; Artiodactyla; Camelidae
Also listed under: 3 other names
Rfam family: tRNA
About the family: Transfer RNA (tRNA) molecules are approximately 80 nucleotides in length. Their secondary structure includes four short double-helical elements and three loops (D, anti-codon, and T loops).
Source: Rfam by way of RNAcentral